CACGCCGUAAACGAUGAGUGCUAGGUGUCGGGGGGGGAACCCUCGGUGCCGCAGCUAACGCAAUAAGCACUCCACCUGGGGAGUACGAUCGCAAGAUUGAAACUCAAAGGAAUUGACGGGGGCCCGCACAAGCGGUGGAGCAUGUGGUUUAAUUCGAAGCAACGCGAAGAACCUUACCAAGGCUUGACAUCCCUCUGACCGGUGUAGAGAUACACCUUCUCUUCGGAGCAGAGGUGACAGGUGG
This 244-nucleotide ribosomal RNA is filed under the name uncultured bacterium. Its description in RNAcentral is "partial 16S ribosomal RNA". It matches the Rfam family "Bacterial small subunit ribosomal RNA", at positions 796 to 1041 of the family's 1533-position model. The record is from RNAcentral.